This 427-nucleotide ribosomal RNA is filed under the name uncultured bacterium. Its description in RNAcentral is "partial 16S ribosomal RNA". It matches the Rfam family "Bacterial small subunit ribosomal RNA", at positions 355 to 774 of the family's 1533-position model. The record is from RNAcentral.
UGGGGAAUAUUGCACAAUGGGCGCAAGCCUGAUGCAGCCAUGCCGCGUGUAUGAAGAAGGCCUUCGGGUUGUAAAGUACUUUCAGCGGGGAGGAAGGUGUUGAGGUUAAUAACCUCAGCAAUUGACGUUACCCGCAGAAGAAGCACCGGCUAACUCCGUGCCAGCAGCCGCGGUAAUACGGAGGGUGCAAGCGUUAAUCGGAAUUACUGGGCGUAAAGCGCACGCAGGCGGUCUGUCAAGUCGGAUGUGAAAUCCCCGGGCUCAACCUGGGAACUGCAUUCGAAACUGGCAGGCUAGAGUCUUGUAGAGGGGGGUAGAAUUCCAGGUGUAGCGGUGAAAUGCGUAUAGAUCUGGAGGAAUACCGGUGGCGAAGGCGGCCCCCUGGACAAAGACUGACGCUCAGGUGCGAAAGCGUGGGGAGCAAACA